UAGGGAAUCUUCCACAAUGGGCGCAAGCCUGAUGGAGCAACGCCGCGUGAGUGAAGAAGGUCUUCGGAUCGUAAAACUCUGUUGUUAGAGAAGAACAUGCAGGAGAGUAACUGUUCUUGUAUUGGCGGUAUCUAACCAGAAAGCCACGGCUAACUACGUGCCAG
Molecule: ribosomal RNA, 164 nt
Filed under: uncultured bacterium
Lineage: Bacteria
Description: partial 16S rRNA
Rfam family: Bacterial small subunit ribosomal RNA
Source: RNAcentral